GACGAACGCUGGCGGCGUGCCUAAUACAUGCAAGUUGAGCGCUGAAGGUUGGUACUUGUACCGAUUGGACGAGCAGCGAACGGGUGAGUAAUGCGUGGGGAAUUUGUCUUUGAGCGGGGGACAACAUUUGGAAACGUAUGCUAAUACCGCAUAAAAACUUUAAACACAAGUUUUAAGUUUGAAAGAUGCAAUUGCAUCACUCAAAGAUGAUCCUGCGUUGUAUUAGCUAGAUGGUUAGGAAGGGGCUCACCAAGGCGAUGAUACAUAGCCGAGCUGGGAGGGUGAUCGUCCACAUUGGGACUGAGAAACGGCCCAAACUCCUACGGGGGGCAGCAGUAGGGAAUCUUCGGCAAUGGACGGAAGUCUUGCCGAACAAAGGCACGGGAGUGAAGGAAGGUUUCGGAACGUAAAACUCUGUUAAGAGAGAAGAACGUUGGUGAGAGUGACAAGCUCAUGAAUUGACGGUAACUACCCAGAAAGGGACGGCUAACUACGUG
RNAcentral lists this ribosomal RNA (497 nucleotides) under uncultured bacterium. RNAcentral's name for it is "partial 16S ribosomal RNA". It matches the Rfam family "Bacterial small subunit ribosomal RNA", at positions 28 to 507 of the family's 1533-position model. The record is from RNAcentral.